CGUGGGAAUCCGUACGCUGACUCACUAACCACCCUUAACUUGCCGCUCUCUCACAAAAGGAGAAAACCAAAAACCCCUCACCUACCCUUUCCCUCCUCGACGAUUGCGAACCAAAAUUCCCUCACCAAUCCAAUUGCUUUUCUCUUUUCCACAGUAUAAAUACCAAAUGAAGGGGAAGAGGAAGGCAGCCGCAAGCCCCAAUAUGGCCUUGAACAAUGCCUUCGAGGAUGGCCACAACAUGGUAGAGGUUUUUGUUCAAGGAGGGAAUGCUGCUGAUGAGAAAGAACGAGAUGGGGUUGAUGAUAAUGAGGAGAAUCGGAAGGAAUGUGAAGGAGAGGAUGAGGAUGAGGAUGAGGACGUGGAUGAGAAUGAGAAUGAGGACGAGGAAGAGAAAGAUGAAGAAGAACGGCCUAAGCUUGAUGAGGGUUUCUUCGAAAUCGAAGCUAUUCGACGCAAACGGGUCCGCAAGGUAUUUCUUUUUCCCCCGUACGCGCAUACAUAGUGUUUGUGUGUGUUUAUGCUUUAAUGGCAUCCCCUUCUGUAGAAAUUAUUAUUUACCCAUCUCUUAAAAUUUUCUAUUUCAUUUGUUUUAGAACAGAAAAUGUGAUUAGGAAAAACAAUAAAUGAAAGUUUUUAUUUUAUUUUCAAGGUUUAUUGCAAGUGGAUGGUGGGUGGUUUAAUUUUAUUUUGUAUUAAUUGCUUGGCUGAAUGGCAUUUUCUUUACUUUGAUCGAUAAUGAGGCAAAUCACUUCCCAAAUGCUGCUCAAAAAUAGGGUCAGCUUCAGUAUCUCAUAAAGUGGCGAGGCUGGCCAGAAACGGCCAACACCUGGGAGCCCUUAGAGAAUUUGCAGUCGUGUUCUGAUGUCAUUGAUUUGUUUGAGGAGAGCUUGCGAUCUGGUAAAUCUUCGCGAAAGAGGAAACGCAAAUAUGGAGGUCCUCAUAAUCAGCCCAGGAAGAAGUUGUCACGUUCCUCUGCUGGUUAUAGCAUUACAGGUGUUGAAGUAAACGUAGUUGAUAAAUCCUUGUCCUCUGCUCCUCUGAAUAACUCAAGCCAUGCUGAUCCACCUGCGGGUUCAGGUCAUGAAGGAGAGAAAAUUGAAGUUAGCAAUGUUAAAACAGCGAAGAAAGCUGAUGAGAAUGGGUA
Molecule: unclassified non-coding RNA, 1144 nt
Filed under: Hevea brasiliensis (rubber tree)
Lineage: Eukaryota; Viridiplantae; Streptophyta; Magnoliopsida; Malpighiales; Euphorbiaceae
Source: RNAcentral